This 910-nucleotide long non-coding RNA is filed under the name Gossypium barbadense (sea-island cotton). RNAcentral describes it as "long non-coding RNA (GBAR_LNC007605)". The record is from RNAcentral. Lineage: Eukaryota; Viridiplantae; Streptophyta; Magnoliopsida; Malvales; Malvaceae.
UUGAGUUAAAUUUUUAAAUUUCAAUAAUUUUAACAAUCCAAAUACCAAACUAUAUUAUUUUAAAAAUAUAUUAUUUAAUCUAAUUAAUAAUAAUUUUACAUUCCCACCAAAACCCUUUUACUUCCCCCGUCUGCCCUACCAUUUUCCCCUAAAUCAAAUUUUCAUUCCUAUUUCCUAUCCACAGAUCAAACUCAGCAUCCUUCUUCGGUUCUUCUUCAUCAGUUUCAGAGGUUAGGCAAAUCCCUCAGUCGUCCCUCACUUGUCCCCAAUCUCCCGUCCUUCAACGCAGCUGUGCGUACUAGGUGUUGUUGGUAUUGUUGCUGUAAAAGCUAUUGUUGUGGCAAAGGUUGUUGAUGCUGCUUCUGGAAAACAAAUUGCCCUUGGAUCUUCGAGAUUGAUGUUCCUUUUGGUCGUUCCAUUUUCUUCAGUCUUCACUCUUCACCUCGACUUUUCUACAUCUCCUUUACCCUAUGAAACAUUUCACUUUUUUUUUAAGAUUUGUGGGAUUGUUAUAGGUUCUGUUGAUUACCUCUUUCACUCACGAACUAACAAACCAUAAAUUUGCUCAGCCCAAAGACGAAGAGCAAUGAUUGACUUCUUUGGUCAUUUCAAUAAUUUUGUGUUUUUUUCCCCUUUUUCUUAUAUUUUAUUAUGGGAAUCAAGACUAGAAGUUUAGUAAUUUUUUAAUUUACUAGUUCGGUCUAUUGUUUUUGCCAGUCAAUUUAUGUAAAUCCGAGGACCACCAUUGAAUCGAGGAAAUCUUGGUCUUGUGGAUGUCUUAUUCAACUUUCAGAAUGAAAGGUAGCCAUAUAAUUUUUUUGCUAUUGUAGUUUGUUGAUAAGUAUCAAUGUCCCUACUUUUUGCAUAUUAUUUAAGUUGGAAUAACAACUUUGGAUUUGGAUCCUGUUUU